This 539-nucleotide ribosomal RNA is filed under the name Sarocladium kiliense. RNAcentral describes it as "partial large subunit ribosomal RNA". It matches the Rfam family "Eukaryotic large subunit ribosomal RNA", at positions 60 to 609 of the family's 3401-position model. Lineage: Eukaryota; Fungi; Ascomycota; Sordariomycetes; Hypocreales; Sarocladiaceae. The record is from RNAcentral.
AGAAACCAACAGGGAUUGCCUCAGUAACGGCGAGUGAAGCGGCAACAGCUCAAAUUUGAAAUCUGGCCGCAAGGUCCGAGUUGUAAUUUGUAGAGGAUGCUUUUGGCGAGGUGCCUUCCGAGUUCCCUGGAACGGGACGCCAUAGAGGGUGAGAGCCCCGUACGGUAGGACCACCAAGCCUCUGUAAAGCUCCUUCGACGAGUCGAGUAGUUUGGGAAUGCUGCUCUAAAUGGGAGGUGUACGUCUUCUAAAGCUAAAUACCGGCCAGAGACCGAUAGCGCACAAGUAGAGUGAUCGAAAGAUGAAAAGCACUUUGAAAAGAGGGUUAAAAAGUACGUGAAAUUGUUGAAAGGGAAGCAUUCAUGACCAGACUUGGGCUUGGUUGAACAUCCGGCGUUCUCGCCGGUGCACUCUGCCAGUCCAGGCCAGCAUCAGUUUGCCCCGGGGGAUAAAGGCGGCGGGAAUGUGGCUCCCUUCGGGGAGUGUUAUAGCCCGUCGUGUAAUGCCCUGGGGCGGACUGAGGAACGCGCUUCGGCACG